GAGGAAUAAGCAUCGGCUAACUCCGUGCCAGCAGCCGCGGUAAUACGGGGGAUGCAAGCGUUAUCCGGAAUCAUUGGGCGUAAAGCGCCUGUAGGUUGUUUAUUAAGUCUGUUGUUAAAGACUAGGGCUCAACCCUAGAAAAGCAAUGGAAACUAAUAGACUCGAGUAUGGCAGGGGUAGAGGGAAUUUCUAGUGUAGCGGUGAAAUGCGUAGAUAUUAGAAAGAACACCGGUGGCGAAAGCGCUCUACUGGACCAUUACUGACACUCAGAGGCGAAAGCUAGGGUAGCAAAAGGGAUUAGAUACCCCUGUAGUCCUAGCCGUAAACGAUGGAUACUAGAUGUUGUGCAUUACGUACAGUAUCGUAGCUAACGCGUUAAGUAUCCCGCCUGGGGAGUACGCUCGCAAGGGUGAAACUCAAAGGAAUUGACGGGGGCCCGCACAAGCGGUGGAGCAUGUGGUUUAAUUCGAUGCAACGCGAAGAACCUUACCAGGGCUUGACAUACUACGGAUUUUUUUGAAAGAGAAAAGUGCCUUCGGGAAUGUAGAUACAGGUGGUGCAUGGCUGUCGUCAGCUCGUGUCGUGAGAUGUUGGGUUAAGUCCCGCAACGAGCGCAACCCUUAUUUUUAGUUACCAACUCGUUGGGUUCUCUAGAAAGACUGCCGGUGACAAACCGGAGGAAGGUGAGGAUGACGUCAAGUCAGCAUGCCCCUUAUGUCCUGGGCUACACACGGGCUACAAUGGUUAAGACGAAGAGUUGCGAGCUUGUAAAAGUCAGCUAAUCUCGUAAACUUAGCCUAAGUUCAGAUUGUAGGCUGCAACUCGCCUGCGUGAAG
RNAcentral lists this ribosomal RNA (836 nucleotides) under Haptophyta environmental samples. Its description in RNAcentral is "bacterial SSU rRNA". It matches the Rfam family "Bacterial small subunit ribosomal RNA", at positions 481 to 1325 of the family's 1533-position model. The record is from RNAcentral. Lineage: Eukaryota; Haptophyta.